UCCUUAUCGAGAGUGGUGGAGGGACUGGCCCUUUGAAACCCGGCAACUUUAGCGAAAGCUAAAAAGUGCUAAAUCCAGCAUGUUUAAAACAUGAGAGAUAAGGC
This 104-nucleotide non-coding RNA is filed under the name Bacillus sp. (in: firmicutes). Its description in RNAcentral is "Bacillus sp. SAM-I sequence". It matches the Rfam family "SAM riboswitch aptamer (S box leader)". From Rfam's summary of the family: The SAM riboswitch is found upstream of a number of genes which code for proteins involved in methionine or cysteine biosynthesis in Gram-positive bacteria. The SAM riboswitch acts at the level of transcription termination control. The record is from RNAcentral. Lineage: Bacteria; Bacillati; Bacillota; Bacilli; Caryophanales; Bacillaceae.